CUGCCUUCCUGGUGCACUUUUUGGAGAACGUGGUGGAAUCAGAGGUUUCUGGCUGACUCGGUGGGUGCUUUGAACCAGGAAAGGACAAGAAAGAGGUGCCACCUCCUGAGUCCUGGUUCCUGCGGCUCCGUCGAAUCUGCAGUGAAGGCCUUUGGGAAGCGUGGGUUAUGUGGGUCCAGGGGGCCCACCCUCCCGUGGAGGCCCUUGACCUGAGGAUCACUAACUCACACCCCACCGACCUCUGGCCCCCAACAAGGGCAGUGUUCCUCUUGCUCCAUUCUGCUCUGAAGUCCCCCAAACCGCUUCCUGGGGCUGCUUAGUGAAAUACAAGUCUCAUCUCUGAGGACCUCUACAGGGCUGGAUGGGAAGGACUGAUCCACAUUCCUACCAGGAAGUUUAACGGAACCCCCGCGUGCCACCUGGACCCCCUGGAAGGACCUGGCUAAGGCUGGACCACCUCUUGAGAGGCAGGAGCUCCGGAUUUGAUCAAGAAUUCUUUGCUGAGCAUGGUGCCUCAUGCCUAUAAUCCCAACACUUU
This 538-nucleotide long non-coding RNA is filed under the name Pan troglodytes (chimpanzee). Its description in RNAcentral is "lincRNA". Lineage: Eukaryota; Metazoa; Chordata; Mammalia; Primates; Hominidae. The record is from RNAcentral.